This 1947-nucleotide long non-coding RNA is filed under the name Amborella trichopoda. RNAcentral describes it as "long non-coding RNA (ATRI_LNC004350)". Lineage: Eukaryota; Viridiplantae; Streptophyta; Magnoliopsida; Amborellales; Amborellaceae. The record is from RNAcentral.
CUUCACAUAUCACUUUACAGUCUUAUUGAUCAAUAAAAAUGGAACCACCAUCGAUUUGAAGCCAUGAAUUCAUCUUUUUGUUAAGACCAUAAACCGUACUGAAAAAAAUCCGCCAUUUCAUUGAUUGCAGAUGAAAUAGAGCAACAUUUUAGAUCAAAUCAAAGGCUUUUUUAUCUUGACAAUAUCAUUGACAAAAAGUUGUAGCCUAUUUUUGGGAUUUUUGGUCGAUUACUGGUGGAUUUGUGAUUUGAACUCACGGUUUCCGAAGAACAGGUAAGGGUUUCAAAACUUCCACCAUUUCAUCAAUUGCGGAUGAAAGAAGGCAAGGUUUUUUUUUAUCAAACUACCAUCGAUUUGAAGGUUCUUGAUCAAUUAUUUGAGCAAAAUCAAAUCUUUGCAGCCUUCAUAGAUCACUUUAUAGUCUUAUUGAUCAUUAACAACAAAACCACCAUCGUUUUUUGAAAAAAAUCCGCCAUUUCAUCGAUUGGAGACGAAAUAGGGCAAGAGUUUAGAACAAAUAAAAGGCUUUUUUAUCUUGAUAGUAUCAUUGACAAGAAAUUGUAGCUUAUUUUUGGGUUUUUUGGUUGAUUACUAGUCGAUUUGUGAUUUGAACUCACGGUUUCUGAAGAGGAGGUAAGGAUUUUAAAAUUUCUACCAUUUCAUCAAAUGCAAAAGAAAAAAGGAAAGUUUUUUUUACCAAAUCAGAGGGUUUUUAUCUCAAUAGUAUUAUGCACAAUAUAUUGUAGCAUGUUUUCGGUUUUUGUUGUCGAUUACUGGUGUAUUUAUGAUUUGCAGUCACGAUUUCUCAAGAACAGGUUAAGGUUUUCAUUUUUCCAACAUUUCAUCGAUUGUAAACGAAAUAGAGUACGAUUUUUUUAUCAAUUCAGAGGAUUUUUAAUUUUAAUAAUAUUAUUCACAAGAUAUUGUAGCUUAUUUUUUGGAUUUUUUGGUCGAUUAAUGGUGUCUUUGCGAUUUGAAGUUACGUUUUCUCAAUAAUAGGUUAGGGUUUUCAUUUUCUUGCCAUUUCAUCGAUUGUAUGCAAAAGAGGGCAUGAUUUUUUUAUCAAAUCAGAGGAUUUUUUAUCUUAAUACUAUUAUUCACAAGAUAUUGUAGCCUAUUUUAGGGGGUUUUGGUCGAUUAAUGGUGUAUUUGUGAUUUGAAGUUUCUCAAUAACAAUCUAGGGCUUUUUUUUUUUGGGUAAAUUGCAUAAAACCCCCAGAAAUGGACUUUCUAAGCAAUUUACUCCCAACUUAACUUUUCCUAGCAACUUUUUCCCCAAAAGCAUGUUUCUUAGCAAAUACUCCCCAACUCAAAAAAAAAAAAAAAAAAAACGAAACGAAAAUAUCCCUCCCUUACCUCACAUGUUGAUCAUGGCGGUCUGACACUUCACCAUGGUUGUUCGGCAUUAGGAAGAGGCGGUUUGGCACUUAAGCCACUUAUUUGGAAUGGUCCGGUACUUCACCAUGGCUGUUUGGCACUUCAUCACGGCGGUCUGGAGUUUGGAAGAGGCGGUCCAGCAUUUGUUUCUAGAUUGAUGAACGGUCUAGCAUUUGUGAGCUACGGUCCGGAAAAAUUGAAAAUUGUGUCUAGAAUAGGUGGCCCGACAGUGUACAGUUCCGAUUCAGCAUAAUGGAUGGGUCUGACAAUAUACAAUUGCGAUCCGACGUUUCCUUUUGGGAUCCGAAAAUGAUUUGUUAUUUAUGGGAAGGGUAUUUUCAUCAAAAAUAAAAUGAACUUUUUGUAUUGGGGGGUAUUUUAUUUAAAACUUGAUUUUUGGGAAAAAUAUACUAAGAAAAAUUAGGGUGGAGGUAAAGUGCCUAGAAAGUCUAUUUUGGGGGUUUUAUGUAAUUUUUCAUUUUUUUUCCCGUAAAACUAAUGAUAUAAUUUUUAUUAUUUUUUGUGUGAACAAAGUUUUGUUGAUCGAAUUUUGAAAAAAUCGUGAUUGUU